GGAGUUUGGGCCGUGUCUCAGUCCCAAUGUGGCCGAUCACCCUCUCAGGUCGGCUAUGGAUCGCGGUCUUGGUGGGCCGUUACCCCGCCAACUAACUAAUCCAACGCGGGCCCAUCUUGCACCGAUAAAUCUUUUCCGGAUGUGCCAUGCGGCACUACCGGCUUAUGCGGUAUUAGCAGUCGUUUCCAACUGUUGUCCCCCUGUGCAAGGCAGGUUGCCCACGCGUUACUCACCCGUCCGCCACUAAGUUUACAUGUCCAUUAGAGCAAGCUCCGCUUUCUACAUAAACUCCGUUCGACUUGCAUGUGUUAAGCACGCCGCCAGCGUUCAUC
This 332-nucleotide ribosomal RNA is filed under the name uncultured Lachnospiraceae bacterium. RNAcentral's name for it is "partial 16S ribosomal RNA". Lineage: Bacteria; Bacillati; Bacillota; Clostridia; Lachnospirales; Lachnospiraceae. The record is from RNAcentral.